CAGUGAAGUGCUUCAAACAUAAUCAGUGACGCCAACUGAAGCAAGGUCCAGCCCGCUGUUUCACAGCAAGUAACCCGUCGAGUUUUCAAGCCACGUCCAUCACAUUUUCAUGGUUUCAGCUUGAACCAUAAAGGAACGAUGAAGUUAUUUGUGUUGCUUCUCCUCUGCCCGGGUUUAUUUGCAGCGAAACACUCACUGAAGUAUUUCAUCACUGCAUCUUCUGGACACCCGAACAUCUCAGAGUUUCAGGGUGUCGGGUUGGUUGAUGGCGUUGAGGCGGGUCACUGUGACAGCAGCAACAGGAUACUGGAACUGAGACAGGACUGGGUGAAGAAGAUUUUAGACAAAGACCCUCGGCAGUUACACCAUUACAGUUAUGUGUGUUUUGAAAACCUGCCAAACUUCUUCAGAGGCGAGAUUUCUAGAUUGAAGCAGGAAUUCGACCAAUGUGGAGGUGUCCACAUUUUACAGAGGAUAGAUGGCUGUGAAUGGGAUGACAACACUGGAGAGGUGACCGGCUUAGAACGUUAUGGUUAUAAUGGAGAAGACUUUAUUGAACUUGAUCUGAAGACACUGACAUGGAUCGCACUGAAACCAGAAGCUGCUUCUACCAAACUCAGAUGGGAUGCUGAGAUAAAUAUAAAUACCACUGUAGACUUCGUCACUAAGGUUUGUCCACUGUGGCUGAGCACAGUUUGGGGCGUUGCAAGAGGUUCCCUGCAGAGAACAGUUCUUCCCUCAGUGUCUCUCCUCCAGAAGUCUCCCUCCUCUCCAAUCAGCUGCCACGCUACAGGUUUCUACCCUCACAGAGCCAUGAUGUUCUGGAGGAAAGAUGGAGAGGAGAUCCAUGAGGGUGUGGAUUGUGGAGAGAUCCUCCCCAACGAUGAUGAGACUUUCCAGAUGAGUGUUGAUCUGAAUGUUUCAUCAGUCACACCUGAAGACUGGAGCAGAUAUGAGUGUGUGUUUCAGCUCUCUGGUGUCAAGGACGCCAUCAUCACCGCACUGAAUAGAACAGCGAUCAGGACCAACUAGAGAGAGAAGCCAUCAUCAUCAUCAUCAUCCUCGUUACGGUGGCGGGUGUUAAUGCUCCCGGCAGCUUCUCUGACCUUCUGACCUCUGUGAGAGCCUGAAUGAGCCUCACAGAGACAAUCUCAGCCGAGUCCAGUCAGAUAAGAUUGGGAAACAGAAGAUCGAAGGUUCUGGCAGUGCGCUGCAACUCUGCAUGAAUCUGUUUAAUUUGCCAGUAAAAGUCUUUGAAACUUAGGAAGUUGUGAUUGAUCGUCUCUAUAUCAAAGAAUCAAGUUAAAAUCUAAAAUCUGAAACAUCAAAUUAUGUCAAAUAUAACAUUUGAGAAUACCAAAAUUUUGUUAUGACUGUAUAUCCCAGCGAUGACAUGCAGUCACGUCUCUUCAGUGCAUCCAUCCCAGCUGCCUCGACUAAUAUCAAACAUCUCAAAAUAGUUCAGAGAUGAGACGUCAGAUCUUAAUUGUUGGUCAAAAUAUUCAAAGUAAAAUUGAUUCAUGGAUCAAAAACAUAAUCUGGUGGAAAUCUUGCUUUGGAUCCUUACCUGUGUUUCAUUCAUGUUUCUUUAAAAUAAAAA
This is an RNA transcript of Archocentrus centrarchus (flier cichlid), 1600 nucleotides long. It is a transcript of the gene named major histocompatibility complex class I-related gene protein-like, with no coding region annotated. Lineage: Eukaryota; Metazoa; Chordata; Actinopteri; Cichliformes; Cichlidae. The transcript is spliced from 6 exons. The record is from RefSeq and is a predicted model, not a curated record.